UGCGUGACCGACCUGCCCCAUACACCGGAAUAGCUCCUGGAAACGGGUGGUAAUGCCGGAUGCUCCGACUCCUCGCAUGGGGUGUCGGGAAAGAUUUCAUCGGUAUGGGAUGGGGUCGCGUCCUAUCAGGUAGUCGGCGGGGUAACGGCCCACCGAGCCUACGACGGGUAGCCGGCCUGAGAGGGCGACCGGCCACAUUGGGACUGAAAUACGGCCCAAACUCCUACGGGAGGCAGCAGUGGGGAAUAUUGCACAAUGGGCGCAAGCCUGAUGCAGCGACCCCGCGUGCGGGAUGACGGCCUUCGGGUUGUAAACCGCUUUUGAUCGGGAGCAAGCCUUCGGGUGAGUGUACCUUUCGAAUAAGCACCGGCUAACUACGUGCCAGCAGCCGCGGUAAUACGUAGGGUGCAAGCGUUAUCCGGAAUUAUUGGGCGUAAAGGGCUCGUAGGCGGUUCGUCGCGUCCGGUGUGAAAGUCCAUCGCUUAACGGUGGAUCUGCGCCGGGUACGGGCGGGCUGGAGUGCGGUAGGGGAGACUGGAAUUCCCGGUGUAACGGUGGAAUGUGUAGAUAUCGGGAAGAACACCAAUGGCGAAGGCAGGUCUCUGGGCCGUUACUGACGCUGAGGAGCGAAAGCGUGGGGAGCGAACAGGAUUAGAUACCCUGGUAGUCCACGCCGUAAACGGUGGAUGCUGGAUGUGGGGCCCGUUCCACGGGUUCCGUGUCGGAGCUAACGCGUUAAGCAUCCCGCCUGGGGAGUACGGCCGCAAGGCUAAAACUCAAAGAAAUUGACGGGGGCCCGCACAAGCGGCGGAGCAUGCGGAUUAAUUCGAUGCAACGCGAAGAACCUUACCUGGGCUUGACAUGUUCCCGACAGCCGUAGAGAUAUGGCCUCCCUUCGGGGCGGGUUCACAGGUGGUGCAUGGUCGUCGUCAGCUCGUGUCGUGAGAUGUUGGGUUAAGUCCCGCAACGAGCGCAACCCUCGCCCUGUGUUGCCAGCACGUCAUGGUGGGAACUCACGGGGGACCGCCGGGGUCAACUCGGAGGAAGGUGGGGAUGACGUCAGAUCAUCAUGCCCCUUACGUCCAGGGCUUCACGCAUGCUACAAUGGCCGGUACAACGGGAUGCGACACGGCGACGUGGAGCGGAUCCCUGAAAACCGGUCUCAGUUCGGAUUGGAGUCUGCAACCCGACUCCAUGAAGGCGGAGUCGCUAGUAAUCGCGGAUCAGCAACGCCGCGGUGAAUGCGUUCCCGGGCCUUGUACACACCGCCCGUCAAGUCAUGAAAGUGGGUAGCACCCGAAGCCGGUGGCCUAACCCUU
Molecule: ribosomal RNA, 1319 nt
Filed under: Bifidobacterium pseudocatenulatum
Lineage: Bacteria; Bacillati; Actinomycetota; Actinomycetes; Bifidobacteriales; Bifidobacteriaceae
Description: bacterial SSU rRNA
Rfam family: Bacterial small subunit ribosomal RNA
Source: RNAcentral